GUAGGGAAUAUUGGUGAAUGGGCGAAAGCCCGAACCAGCAACGCCGCGUGUGCGAUGAAGGCCUUCGGGUUGUAAAGCACUUUUCUCUGGGAAGAGGAAGGACGGUACCAGAGGAAUAAGCCUCGGCUAACUACGUGCCAGCAGCCGCGGUAAAACGUAGGAGGCGAGCGUUAUCCGGAUUUACUGGGUGUAAAGCGCGAGCAGGCGGCUCGCUAAGUUGGGUGUGAAAGCUCCCGGCUCAACUGGGAGAGGUCGCUCAAGACUGGCGGGCUAGAGGGUGGUAGAGGAAGGUGGAAUUCCGGGUGUAGUGGUGAAAUGCGUAGAUAUCCGGAGGAACACCAGUGGCGAAAGCGGCCUUCUGGGCCACCCCUGACGCUCAGACGCGAAAGCUAGGGUAGCAAACGGGAUUAGAUACCCGAGUAGUCC
RNAcentral lists this ribosomal RNA (426 nucleotides) under uncultured bacterium. RNAcentral's name for it is "bacterial SSU rRNA". It matches the Rfam family "Bacterial small subunit ribosomal RNA", at positions 354 to 796 of the family's 1533-position model. The record is from RNAcentral.